CCUACGGGAGGCAGCAGUGGGGGAUAUUGCACAAUGGGGGGAACCCUGAUGCAGCGACGCCGCGUGGGUGAAGGAGUGCUUCGGCAUGUAAAGCCCUAUCGGCAGGGAAGAAGCAAGACGGUACCUGACUAAGAAGCCCCGGCUAACUACGUGCCAGCAGCCGCGGUAAUACGUAGGGGGCGAGCGUUAUCCGGAUUCACUGGGUGUAAAGGGAGCGUAGACGGCCAAGCAAGCCAGGGGUGAAAGCCCGGGGCCCAACCCCGGGACUGCCCUUGGAACUGCAUGGCUGGAGUGCGGGAGGGGCAGGCGGAAUUCCUGGUGUAGCGGUGAAAUGCGUAGAGAUCAGGAGGAACACCGGCGGCGAAGGCGGCCUGCUGGAUCGCGACUGACGUUGAGGCUCGAAAGCGUGGGGAGCAAACAGGAUUAGAUACCCCAGUAGUC
RNAcentral lists this ribosomal RNA (441 nucleotides) under uncultured bacterium. RNAcentral's name for it is "partial 16S ribosomal RNA". It matches the Rfam family "Bacterial small subunit ribosomal RNA", at positions 338 to 795 of the family's 1533-position model. The record is from RNAcentral.